RNAcentral lists this ribosomal RNA (253 nucleotides) under uncultured bacterium. RNAcentral describes it as "partial 16S ribosomal RNA". It matches the Rfam family "Bacterial small subunit ribosomal RNA", at positions 524 to 776 of the family's 1533-position model. The record is from RNAcentral.
UACGUAGGGUGCGAGCGUUAAUCGGAAUUACUGGGCGUAAAGCGUGCGCAGGCGGUUCUCCAAGUCCGUUGUGAAAGCCCCGGGCUCAACCUGGGAAUGGCAGUGGAAACUAGGGGACUUGAAUCUGGCAGAGGGGGGUGGAAUUCCCGAAGUAGAGGUGAAAUUCGUAGAUAUCGGGAGGAACACCGGUGGCGAAGGCGACCAUCUGGACGGAUACUGACGCUGAGACGCGAAAGCGUGGGGAGCAAACAGG